AACGAACGCUGGCGGCGUGGCUAAGGCAUGCAAGUCGAACGGUCUAGAGGUUAGCAAUAGUCUCUAGAUAGUGGCGAACGGGUGAGGAAUACAUGGAUAACGUACCCUAGACUCAGGGAUAGCGGCGGGGAAACCCUUUGCGAAAGUGCCGGUAAUACCUGAUGACCCCGUAGGAUCGCAUGAUCCAUCGGGCAAAGUUACGGCGGUCUGGGAUCGGUUCAUGCCCUAUCAGCUAGUUGGUGAGGUAAC
This 249-nucleotide ribosomal RNA is filed under the name uncultured bacterium. RNAcentral's name for it is "partial 16S ribosomal RNA". It matches the Rfam family "Bacterial small subunit ribosomal RNA", at positions 29 to 261 of the family's 1533-position model. The record is from RNAcentral.